GACGAACGCUGGCGGCGUGCCUAAUACAUGCAAGUUGAGCGAUGAAGAUUGGUGCUCGCACCAAUUUGAAGAGCAGCGAACGGGUGAGUAACGCGUGGGGAAUCUGCCUUUGAGCGGGGGACAACAUUUGGAAACGAAUGCUAAUACCGCAUAACAACUUUAAACAUAAGUUUUAAGUUUGAAAGAUGCAAUUGCAUCACUCAAAGAUGAUCCCGCGUUGUAUUAGCUAGUUGGUGAGGUAAAGGCUCACCAAGGCGAUGAUACAUAGCCGACCUGAGAGGGUGAUCGGCCACAUUGGGACUGAGACACGGCCCAAACUCCUACGGGAGGCAGCAGUAGGGAAUCUUCGGCAAUGGACGAAAGUCUGACCGAGCAACGCCGCGUGAGUGAAGAAGGUUUUCGGAUCGUAAAACUCUGUUGGUAGAGAAGAACGUUGGUGAGAGUGGAAAGCUCAUCAAGUGACGGUAACUACCCAGAAAGGGACGGCUAACUACGUG
This 497-nucleotide ribosomal RNA is filed under the name uncultured bacterium. RNAcentral describes it as "partial 16S ribosomal RNA". It matches the Rfam family "Bacterial small subunit ribosomal RNA", at positions 28 to 507 of the family's 1533-position model. The record is from RNAcentral.